Molecule: non-coding RNA, 1580 nt
Organism: Prunus mume (Japanese apricot)
Lineage: Eukaryota; Viridiplantae; Streptophyta; Magnoliopsida; Rosales; Rosaceae
Source: RefSeq, a predicted model, not a curated record
CAAACACCCAGUUAUGGAAAUGCAACGCAGGUCUUUGAUUUUAGUUGUGGUGCUACUAAUUGGCUUUGCAUUGACAAAUAGCGAAGCUGCUCUUACAGUUCCACCCAUUCAUAUUGACACUCCCUUCAACAGGAGCAGUUUUCCACCAGGUUUCAUAUUUGGCUCAGCUUCAGGAUCUUACCAGUAUGAAGGUGCUGCAAGUGAAGGUGGUAGAGGACCAAGCAUAUGGGAUACCUACACCCACAAUCAUUCAGAAAGAAUUGCUGAUCGCAGUAACGGAGACAUCGCUCUUGAUCAAUAUCACAAGUAUAAGGAAGAUGUGGGUAUUAUGAAAGAUAUGGGGUUAGACGCUUAUAGAUUCUCUAUCUCGUGGUCCAGAUUGUUACCAAGUGGAAAGUUAAGUGACGGUGUGAACGAGGAUGGAAUCACAUACUACAACAAUCUAAUCAAUGAACUCCUUCGAAAUGGUGAAUCAUCCCACAUUACCUGCACUCAUAAAAAUUAUUAUUCAAUCAAAUUUUAUUCCUCAAACUUUAGAAGACGAAUAUGGUGGUUUUUUAAGCCCUCGUGUUGUCAAUCAUUUUCAAGACUAUGCAGAACUAUGUUAUAAGAAAUUUGGUGAUCGAGUAAAGUAUUGGACCACGUUGAAUGAGCCAUAUACCUAUAGUAGCAAUGGUUAUGCAUCUGGCUCUAUGGCACCAGGACGAUGCUCUACUUGGCAAAAAUUAAAUUGCACAGGCGGAAAUUCAGCUAUUGAACCAUAUCUGGUGACACACCACCUCCUCCUUGCUCAUGCGGCUGCUGCAAAUUUGUAUAAGAAUAAAUUUCAGGCAUCUCAAAAAGGUGUGAUAGGACUUACGCUUGUGUCACCCUGGUUUGUGCCUCUUUCUGAGGCAAAUGAAGAUCAAAAGGCUGCAUUACGAGCUUUGGACUUUACUUUUGGAUGGUUUAUGGAGCCAUUAACAAGUGGUAACUAUCCGCACAUCAUGCAGUCUCUUGUUCAAGGGCGAUUACCAAAAUUCACAGAAGAACAAUCCAAGUUACUAAUUGGGUCAUUUGAUUUUCUUGGACUAAAUUACUAUAAUGGUUUCUAUGCAAGUGAUGCAUCUCAUAAUAUUUCUGUACAUGCAAGCUACAUAACAGAUACUCGUGUGAAUCUUACAUCUGAGCGCAAUGGAGUCCCCAUUGGUGUAAAGAGUGCUUCAGAUUGGCUAAAUGUUUACCCAAUAGGAAUUCAAGAUUUUUUACUCUACACAAAGGAAAAGUACAAUGAUCCAAUCAUUUACAUUACCGAGAAUGGCAUUGAUGAGUUGAAUGAUCCAAAAUUAUCACUCAAGGAAGCCCUUUAUGAUACCAAGAGAGUUGACUACCACAUGCUUCACCUCUUUUAUGUUCAAAGUGCAAUCAAAAAUGGUGUCAAAGUUAAGGGAUACUUUCUAUGGUCAUUGCUAGACAACUUUGAAUGGAAUGUUGGAUACACUGUUCGAUUUGGUAUCAAUUUUGUGGAUUAUAAUAAUAGGUUGAAAAGACUCCCAAAACUCUCAGCACACUGGUUCAAAAGUUUUCUCAAGAAGUAUUGA